This 450-nucleotide ribosomal RNA is filed under the name uncultured bacterium. RNAcentral's name for it is "partial 16S ribosomal RNA". It matches the Rfam family "Bacterial small subunit ribosomal RNA", at positions 354 to 796 of the family's 1533-position model. The record is from RNAcentral.
GUGGGGAAUUUUGGACAAUGGGCGCAAGCCUGAUCCAGCAAUGCCGCGUGCAGGAAGAAGGCCUUCGGGUUGUAAACUGCUUUUGUACGGAACGAAACGGUCCUGGCUAAUAUCCGGGGCUAAUGACGGUACCGUAAGAAUAAGCACCGGCUAACUACGUGCCAGCAGCCGCGGUAAUACGUAGGGUGCGAGCGUUAAUCGGAAUUACUGGGCGUAAAGCGUGCGCAGGCGGUGCUGUAAGACAGGCGUGAAAUCCCCGGGCUCAACCUGGGAAUUGCGCUUGUGACUGCAAGGCUGGAGUGCGGCAGAGGGGGAUGGAAUUCCGCGUGUAGCAGUGAAAUGCGUAGAUAUGCGGAGGAACACCGAUGGCGAAGGCAAUCCCCUGGGCCUGCACUGACGCUCAUGCACGAAAGCGUGGGGAGCAAACAGGAUUAGAAACCCUGGUAGUCC